RNAcentral lists this long non-coding RNA (505 nucleotides) under Gossypium raimondii (Peruvian cotton). Its description in RNAcentral is "long non-coding RNA (GRAI_LNC002136)". Lineage: Eukaryota; Viridiplantae; Streptophyta; Magnoliopsida; Malvales; Malvaceae. The record is from RNAcentral.
CCAAGCAGACUUUCCUUGUACAAAAGAACCAACAAUGUUUGUUUUAACAACAUCGAUUUCCUGACUUCUCUUUCUUUUACAUACAAACUCUUUUUUUCAUUCUCAUCACUCGUCUCUUUUUGUUUUUCUUUUGCAUCGUUCUCUCUUUUUUUAUCACUCAUUUUUUUGCUUUUCUUCUUUUCUACACUCUUUUCUUUAUUCUUUUCAUUUUUUUGUUCUCGCUCAUUUUCUUUUGAUUUUUUUAAUGGAACUCCUUAUUUUGAGCUCAUCUUCAUAAUCUUGUUUGGGUGUUAGCGGAGCUAACGUCACCGUUUGUACCAAAUGUUUAAAGGUAAAUCGAUUUGUGUAUCCAUCAUGAAUCACACAUUUUUCAAAUUGCCAGGGCCGUCCAAGAAGACGAUGUCCUGCAUGCAUCGGCACAACAUCACACAUCACUUCGUCUUGAUAUUUUCCAAUUGAAAAUGAAAUAAGCACUUGCUUUGUCACCUUAAGUUCUCCACCAUCA